Molecule: long non-coding RNA, 1356 nt
Organism: Acinonyx jubatus (cheetah)
Lineage: Eukaryota; Metazoa; Chordata; Mammalia; Carnivora; Felidae
Exons: 3
Source: RefSeq, a predicted model, not a curated record
CCUCAAGGGACACAUUCAUUUGGCCGCUCUCUCCUGGACAGUGGUAGCUCCCACCUGCAUCUAUUCAAGACAUUGUCUCAAUGGGAAAACCUCACAAUGAGAACAUUCCUUGAAACGUCGAGCCAUUAGCUGUUGUCUCCUGGUUUCUGCAUCCAUGUUUGUCCAAUGCCUGCCAUUUGAAUGUGGCAUUAUGUCAGAUCCAAGGAGAUUUGCUGUUGCGGCGAUCUGAAGACGGUAGAAAACACCGUUAUCUCAUCGUCUUAGGCUGGCUCUGUGCAUAUGUUGAAACCCACCUUUGAAGGUUUCCAGCGGCUAGCAAAGCCAGGCUCUGUGCUCGGUUUAUCUAGCGUCGCUGGGUGGAAUUCAGAGCUUGCAACCUACAGGUCCUCCGGGCAGCUCGCUGUUUUGUUUUCAUGCCCAAACAACCCAAUUAGGAUCCUCUUGUUCCUGAGUCACUGAGUUUUCUGAUCCAACUGACUCCUCGGGUGGUUUUAACAUCUAUUUAUAGAUAUCACCGAGGAUGAUGCUUGUGUACUGGUGUACGAGGAUGAUAAAGAUAAGUGGAAGACAGAUUCUUUCUCCACAUGAUUCACUGUGAUGAUUUCCCUUACAGUGGGGGCCAUGUGAGCCGGGACUUGCCUGCAAGUUACAAAGUGAGGGGGGACGGCUUCACAUUUCUGGGAGGAGGCAGUCUCUUGCAGUCAGAGCUGACUUGGGAGUAUUACAUUCCCUCUCUCUCCAUCUAAGGAAGCAAACAACGGGUCUGGGGGUUAAAAGGCUCAGGAGGAUAAGUGGCAGACCCUGAGUGACAUCAUUUCCCAUGUUCCUCAGGGAAUGAACAUUGUCACCUUCAUGUCACUUCUUCUGGGGUUGGGGAAAAAAAAAACUGAGAAAGAAUUCGGACUCCGUUGACACAUCACAGAUGGAGAAACAGACCCAGAAGGGCUGUGUGUCUUUUCUGAGGCCACUAAACUUCUUGGCUGACAGCUGGAUGUCGUGUGGUAUGGGUGGAGAUAAAAUCAGUGUCUAUGAGUGUGGAUCUGCUGUAAUAUGCUGAAGAACUCCUCCCCGUUCCGGUUCUAGAAGUAUGGAAUCCUUUGAACCUGAUGACUAAGCCUGAACUAGUCCCCAAGGGGGAAUUCGUUGUUGGAUCCCAGUGUGCCUUAAGGGAAGCAAGAAAAUUAUUGUGGCUGCAUUGGAAAGCCCCGAAUGGAACCUUUCAGGGCUCCUCCUUAGUCUGUUAUUUCUGAUUCUCUUUGAAUAACUGCUUCCUUUUUGUGUCUUUCUUGACUUCUCUACCUUGGGCAAUCUGGUCACCUAUUCUGCAUCUGUUUUACAUGUUCAACUUCAUAAUGC